GCUAGCGUAGCUUAAUACAAAGCAUAACACUGAAGCUGUUAAGAUGGGCCCUGAGAAGCUCCGCAUGCA
This 69-nucleotide transfer RNA is filed under the name Chrosomus erythrogaster (southern redbelly dace). Its description in RNAcentral is "tRNA-Phe". It matches the Rfam family "tRNA". Rfam says of the family: Transfer RNA (tRNA) molecules are approximately 80 nucleotides in length. Their secondary structure includes four short double-helical elements and three loops (D, anti-codon, and T loops). Lineage: Eukaryota; Metazoa; Chordata; Actinopteri; Cypriniformes; Leuciscidae. The record is from RNAcentral.